Molecule: long non-coding RNA, 887 nt
Organism: Homo sapiens (human)
Lineage: Eukaryota; Metazoa; Chordata; Mammalia; Primates; Hominidae
Exons: 3
Source: RefSeq, a predicted model, not a curated record
GGGGACCUUUCCCGCGGGAUUCGGCAAGCGCGGCCGCGGAGACCCGGGGGUGGAGGACGUCUUUCGCCCUCAGGGCAGCCCGGAUGACAGCUAAUGCGCCUGGGCAAGGCGUUCUCAACUGCGAUUCCCGGCCUUAAAUGUCCUCUCAACUUUUAAAAGUUAUUUAUUCAAAGUGCAUUUGCUGACUAAACCUUCACUGAGCGCCUUCCUAGAGAGUCUCACUCUAUCACCCAGGCUAGAGUGCAGUUGUGUGAUCACCCAACAGUCCCCACAGUUCUUCUGGGCUCAGGUGAUUCUCCCACUUCAGCCUCCCAAGUAGCUGGGACUACAGACCAUUGGUUCUGGGAAGCCAGCUGCCAUAUGGUGAAGACCCUCAAACAGCCCAGGGCAGAGGCCAAUGUGCCAACAACCAAGUGAGUGAGCAAUCUUAGAAGUGGAUCCUGCAGCCCCAGGAAAGCUUUGGAUAACUGCAACCCUAAUUGAUGUCAUGAAAGACCUUAAACCAAAAUCGAUCAGCAAAGCCACUCCCGAAUUCCUGACCCACAGAACCUGUGAGAUAAUAAAUAUUCGUUAGGCCAGGCCCUGUGGCUCACGCCUAUAAUCCCAACACUUUGGGAGGCCUAGGUGGGUGGAUCACCUGAGCUCAGGAGUUCGAGACCAGCCUGACCUACAUGGAGAAACCCCGUCUCUACUAAAAAUAUAAAAAACAAUUAGCCGGGCAAUUAGCCUGUAAUCCCAGUUACUUGGGAGGCUGAGGCAGGAGAAUCGCUUGAACCUCAGAGGCGGAGGUUGUGGUGAGCCGAGAUCACACCAUUGCACUCCAGCCUGGGCAACAAGAGUAAAACUCCAUCUCAAAAAAAUAAAAAAAUAAAUACUUGUUGCUUCAA